GUAAGAUGAGAGAGGAGGGAAACGUGUCACCAGCCCGGCUGUGGGAGCUCCGCGGCCGAAGCGUUUGUUGACUCGCGCUGGAGAGGAACCGAGGCUGGACGGGACCCCAUCUGAGGGCAGAGCUGGGGGAGGAGGGAGGGACGGAGGGAGGGAGAGCUGGGCAGAGCGCGACGGGGAGAACCAUCCAGGUCGCUCAUUUCUCUCCGGUGAGAAAACUUCCUCGGGAAGACCGGAAACUUUUUCCUAGGCGCGCGGAGUCUGGGGCGGAGGCGAGCGGCGGGUGUGCGCGACUCGGGGUGAUUCACGCCGGGGACCCCAAGGAGAGCUAGACCCAAUACAGAAUUGAUUUGAAAAACAGUGUGUGAGUUCCUCUGAAAGAUCCUUACAAUGUCUAAUGUUCAUCAUUAAAGUUUAUGGCCUUUGUAGAUUAAUCCUCGGAUUUCAUGUACGGGAGAGAGAAAGAGAGAAAAAAAGCAAAGAUGUCUUUGAGGAGACCACAUCGACUGCUGCCAUCAUUUUGGAGAACUGUUUCAUC
Molecule: long non-coding RNA, 535 nt
Filed under: Homo sapiens (human)
Lineage: Eukaryota; Metazoa; Chordata; Mammalia; Primates; Hominidae
Description: non-protein coding lnc-RAG1-5:1
Source: RNAcentral